Molecule: long non-coding RNA, 4008 nt
Organism: Canis lupus familiaris (dog)
Lineage: Eukaryota; Metazoa; Chordata; Mammalia; Carnivora; Canidae
Exons: 3
Source: RefSeq, a predicted model, not a curated record
CCCGGCUCCCCCGGCGCGGGGCGCGCGGCCCUUACCUAUGGUGGUGAUGACCGUGAUGGCAAAGUAGAAGGAGCCGGCGAAUUUCCACUGGACGCCGGCGCGGUGCGGCUCGGACUGCAGGAUCACCAGCUCCAGCUGCCGGUAGUCCUCGGCGCUGAUGUUGUACUUCCCCUUGAUCCGGAUCUCCUCCGCUUUGAGUUUCUCCUCCUCGCGCAUCUCGUGGUCCGACUCGAGGGCGUCGAAGACGGCGGCGCCCACCAGCAGGUGGGAAGGCUUCCAACGGGGGACAGUCACGUGCCCAAGGACACAGGACAGUUACCACCUCGAACCCCGCUUCUGUCCAGCACUCCUUCGAGGACCCCAGCCGCCCUCUGACCCCAACGUCAUGGUGCCUUGGAGAGUCACAGACCACCGCCCCCCCCCCCCCCCACACACACACACACAAAGGCUGCCUCUUCCUUUUCUCCUCGCUCCAAAAUAUGGCCUUUGGACUCAAGCCCCCGGAGCCAGACCUCAGGGAGGGAUCUUGGGGCUGGAAGAGGACACUCACACGCGGCACUCUCUACCCCCCACCUGCCCCCCCGACCGGUGGAAGUGAGGUCCCUGGAGCAGAACCUGGCUCCUGGCGUCUCCCCUAUGUCCCCAGCACCCCCCACACCUCAGCGGCUCAGCUAGGUCUGUGGGUUGGCACUGCCUGACUGUCCACAAGGAGCCUAGACUACCGCAGGCGCCUCUGGGGAGCCUCUGGGGAGCCUCUGGUGAGCCCAGCUCCUCUGCUACCCCUAGGGUUCCGGGGGCACCCACUCCAGCCCAGCUCCAGUGGGGGGGGGACUCAACUCCCAACCAAUGAGAAAGGACCUGGGAAAGCAUUUCUAGGAGGAGCUGGGGCAAAGGGAGGGAGGCAGGAAAGCCCCACCCCUCCCCCCACCCCCAGCAAGACCCCCUGAUUUAGGGGAGCAGAUACGUUCUCUGUGCAGCAUAGGCCACUGUGGGUUCAUCCCAAGCCUGGCAGGAGCCGCAGCCGGCCUGUGUCCGUCACUGGGCCUCCCUGGACCUCGGUAUCUUCUUUAGUAAAAACAGAUGUGUUGGUUCAGGUAAUAAAGAACAUCGCGCCCUUACAGCAUCUGCUGCCUACCUGUUUGCGGGGCUCUCCACCCGCGCCGGCUUGUCAUUGGCCUCCAGGGACCAAGGCGGGUUACCCGGUCUCACCCAGGGAAGCCCAGCAGUGGACGCUGGUCCCGUGGGGAGUCAGAGUGGGCGCCCCCGGGCCUGCCACCGCAGCACUGUGUCCCUGAAACCGUGAACACUCUGCUGCCAGCGGAAGCCCCGGAGCCACCGUGCUCCAGGCCCGGCUCCCAGGCUGGUGCCCCGGUGCCUGCGCGGACAUCGUCAUGGUCGGCGCUGGCCCGGGACUGUUUGCUGGCAAGGAGCCACAACGGCCUGCUGCUUCCAGAACAUCAAACUCCCUGGAUGCCUGCGUGUAAUGCUGUGUCACGUUAAUACCCCCAUCCCUGAAAAUAGGCAGAGGCUGCGGAAUCACUGCCCCCAUUUUAUAGAUGGGGAAGGUGAGGCGCUAAGCCGCAUGGGCCCCAAUCACAAAGAGAAGCUGUGGUCUCCUCGGGGCUCCCAUGCCAGCUCUGUAGGCGCCUCCCCGCACUCGCAGCUUCGCUGGCCCCCACCGGGUGCUCCCGGCCCACGACAUUUGCAGCGGAUGGCGUGUCUUCACUCUGGGCCCCCAGAUUCCAGAGAGAAGGGCUCUGUCGCCAGGCAGCCAGGCCCUCAGGAGCUUGCCAGACUCUCCUUUGGGAUGUGAAUCAGCACACCCUGGAGAGCGUUUCUCUGGGCGCACUGGGGACACUGGGUAAGCAGGAAAAUUCAGGAUUUCGCAGAGCCUGGGCCUGCCAACAGGCGUCCUGACCCGCAGGCUGCAGUGCCGUGAACAGCAUCUCCCAAAUCCACUUGAGCGUGGGAUCUGCCUUUGGGCGGGCGCAGAGCUGGCCUCAGAGCCAGGCCCCGGCCGCCCUUCGGGAGCGCUGUCCCGGCCCGGCUUGCUGGGCACAGGGGGCAGGAGGCCUGGACGCCACCCUGGUCCCACACAGACAGGCCGUCCUCCGGCCCAGGUCCUGGUGGCCCCGCCGAGCAGCCCCCUCUCUCCCCUGCCUGCCGCGACCUUCGGAACACACCGCUUCGCUGCUGGAACCCGACGGGGGCUCCUCGACCAGCCCAGGCUGCCCCCGGCGUUGCCACCUCAGCUCCUGCCUCCCUCCGCCCCUCCUCCAGCACCAGCCUCUGUCUCGACAGCACCUCCGUGCCCUGGCUCAUGCUGUUCCCUCUGCUGGCACACCUUUCCCUACCCUCUUUGGGCUCUCAUCCUCUCGUCUUUCAAGAUUCAGCUCCACCAGCAUGCCCUCCAGAAGCUUCCUGGGCCCCCGGGCUGGCCUAGGCUCCUGUGUCCCCGCACGGACUUACAUCCCCCGCCUGAUGGAGCUCCUCGAGGGCAGGGCCGUGGCCGCCUCAGCCUGGUCGUGCGGGGUCGUGGCCGCCCAGCGCGCACGCAGCAGGUGCACCGCUGGAUGGCAGCUAACGGGCAGGGCUGGGCUCGCUCGCUGGCAAGUCUGAGGCCGUUGCCCCACGUGAGUCUGGCUCAGCUGAGAUGGCAAAAAAGAGCCUCCACACGACGUGAGGGGACAUGGGAGCCAUGGUAAGUCCUCGAGCGGGAGAGUGGUACAGGGAUCCUGGUGGAUGACUGGUCCUGAGCGCAUGUUCCUUGGACACCUGCUGGGCGCUGGGCCUGAGCUGGUGUCGUGUCCUCACGAUAACUCUGAGACUGUCAUCGUCCCCGCUGGCUGGUGAUGCAGCUGAGGCCCCACGAGUUCAGGACAGUAGCCAUGAGUCCAGGCCCUUGUGGGGUGGACGGGUGGGAGUUCGGGCGCGGUGCCCCGCCUCUCCCGGCACAGGCACAAGUGGAAGCGGCCGCUGCACAGGAGGCUGUUCAGUGGGCUCCGCGACUGAAUCCAGAGGAUGCCAAGAUAGGUCCCAGGCUUGGGUGACAUGCAGUGAGGGUCACAGGGCAGGGAGGCGGGACUCUGGCCAGGACUUCCGAGAUACCAGAGGCAGAGCCACAGGUGGAGAAGGGAAUGAGGCUGGGUGUGCCUCCGUCUGCCCACGGGGCCCCAGAACGUUAUGUCAGCGGGCAGGGAACGUGGUUCUGAGGGUGGACAGUCAGGGCCUGUGGCCUUUGGGUCGUCAGACCUUCGGCUUCCCUGGACACCCGUGGCCAGGUGACCAGGGGACCUGGGCCGCAAACUGGCCAGGGGUCCUCCCCGAGAUGUCAAGGGCGGGUCCUGCUGGGCAUCUCUGAGUUCCUAAACUCUUGGGCCUUGGAGCGGGGAAGGCAAAGCCAGGGCUCAAGGGCCCCCCUUCAAGCUAAGGACACUCCCUGAAGCCCUGAGCACACUCACUCACACACACACUAUGAGCGGACAAGUGGUUGGUGGACUUCAGGCAUCUUAAUGGGGCAGGAACCGCAGCCCACCUCCACGCCACCCCACAGAGCCUGGGGGUGCCCAGCAUCUAUCAAGGGGUCCCCGAGGCUCCGUAGCCCACAGGUGCCUCCAGCAGCUGUGACCCUGUGCCCCCCGGGGUGGGGGGUGGGUCUCGGGAACCAGGGCUUCAGCAGCAGACCCACCCCUGACCCCCAACCCCCAAGGCCACCAAGGCUCCCGGGCGCAGGAGGGCCCAGCCCCCCACCCUCUGCACCUGGGUCCCUGGGACACCGCAGAGCAGAGGCUCUGGCAGCUGCUGACCCGAUGAAUGAAACGGAUUCACAAGCAACAAGCCCAUGGCCCGGAAGUGGCACCGGGGACCUUUCUCCUGGUCGCUUCCCCGCCACCAGCGCCUGGAAUGGCUCGGUGUUCACGGAGAGGAGAUGUUUGCUGAACUCACUCUCUGCCUGCUUAAAGUAAAUAAUAAAAUAAUAAUACGAAAUAAAACAAAAUUAAAAAUAAA